UACGUAGGGAGCGAGCGUUGUCCGGAUUCAUUGGGCGUAAAGAGCUCGUAGGCGGCUUGGCAAGUCGGGUGUGAAAACUCCAGGCUCAACCUGGAGACGCCACCCGAUACUGCCAUGGCUAGAGUCCGGUAGGGGACCACGGAAUUCCUGGUGUAGCGGUGAAAUGCGCAGAUAUCAGGAGGAACACCGGUGGCGAAGGCGCUCAUCUGGCCCAAUACUGACGCUGAGGCGCGAAAGCUAGGGGAGCAAACGGG
This 254-nucleotide ribosomal RNA is filed under the name uncultured bacterium. RNAcentral's name for it is "partial 16S ribosomal RNA". It matches the Rfam family "Bacterial small subunit ribosomal RNA", at positions 524 to 776 of the family's 1533-position model. The record is from RNAcentral.